GACGAACGCUGGCGGCGUGCUUAACACAUGCAAGUCGAACGAAGUGGCGAACGGGUGAGUAACGCGUAAUCAACCUGCCCUUCAGAGGGGGACAACAGUUGGAAACGACUGCUCAUACCGCAUACUGAAGGAGGGGAUUGCGUCUGAUUAGCUAGUUGGAGGGGUAAAGGCCCACCAAGGCGAUGAUCAGUAGCCGGUCUGGGAGGAUGAAAGGCCAAAUUGGGGCUGGGACACGGGCCAAGCUCCUACGGGGAGGAGCAAUGGGGGAUCUUCCGGAAUGGACGAAAGUCUGACGGGACAACGCCGCGGGAGUGAUGACGGCCUUCGGGUUGGAAAGCUCUGUUAAUCGGGGCGUGGUACCGGAAUAGAAAGCCACGGCUAACUACGUGCCAGCAGCCGCGGUAAUUC
RNAcentral lists this ribosomal RNA (408 nucleotides) under uncultured bacterium. RNAcentral's name for it is "partial 16S ribosomal RNA". It matches the Rfam family "Bacterial small subunit ribosomal RNA", at positions 28 to 526 of the family's 1533-position model. The record is from RNAcentral.